GUUCUAUGAUGAUAAUAAACUUGCCAGUUCUGCUACUGAACAUUAUUUUGUUGAAAGAAACAAGUUCUGAAUACCAAUGCUCUGAAUA
Molecule: small nucleolar RNA, 88 nt
Organism: Nilaparvata lugens (brown planthopper)
Lineage: Eukaryota; Metazoa; Arthropoda; Insecta; Hemiptera; Delphacidae
Source: RefSeq, a predicted model, not a curated record